RNAcentral lists this ribosomal RNA (1496 nucleotides) under uncultured Propionibacterium sp. RNAcentral's name for it is "bacterial SSU rRNA". It matches the Rfam family "Bacterial small subunit ribosomal RNA". The record is from RNAcentral. Lineage: Bacteria; Bacillati; Actinomycetota; Actinomycetes; Propionibacteriales; Propionibacteriaceae.
GAGUUUGAUCCUGGCUCAGGACGAACGCUGGCGGCGUGCUUAACACAUGCAAGUCGAACGGAAAGGCCCUGCUUUUGUGGGGUGCUCGAGUGGCGAACGGGUGAGUAACACGUGAGUAACCUGCCCUUGACUUUGGGAUAACUUCAGGAAACUGGGGCUAAUACCGGAUAGGAGCUCCUGCUGCAUGGUGGGGGUUGGAAAGUUUCGGCGGUUGGGGAUGGACUCGCGGCUUAUCAGCUUGUUGGUGGGGUAGUGGCUUACCAAGGCUUUGACGGGUAGCCGGCCUGAGAGGGUGACCGGCCACAUUGGGACUGAGAUACGGUCCAGACUCCUACGGGAGGCAGCAGUGGGGAAUAUUGCACAAUGGGCGGAAGCCUGAUGCAGCAACGCCGCGUGCGGGAUGACGGCCUUCGGGUUGUAAACCGCUUUCGCCUGUGACGAAGCGUGAGUGACGGUAAUGGGUAAAGAAGCACCGGCUAACUACGUGCCAGCAGCCGCGGUGAUACGUAGGGUGCGAGCGUUGUCCGGAUUUAUUGGGCGUAAAGGGCUCGUAGGUGGUUGAUCGCGUCGGAAGUGUAAUCCUUGGGGCUUAACCCUGAGCGUGCUUUCCGAUACGGGGUUGACUUGGAGGAAGGUAAGGGGAGAAUGGAAUUCCUGGUGGAGCGGUGGGAAUGCGCAAAUAUCAGGAGGAAACCCCAGUGCCGAAAAGCGGUUCUCUGGGCCUUUCCUGACGCUGAGGAGCGAAAGCGUGGGGAGCGAACAGGCUUAGAUACCCUGGUAGUCCACGCUGUAAACGGUGGGUACUAGGUGUGGGGUCCAUUCCACGGGUUCCGUGCCGUAGCUAACGCUUUAAGUACCCCGCCUGGGGAGUACGGCCGCAAGGCUAAAACUCAAAGGAAUUGACGGGGCCCCGCACAAGCGGCGGAGCAUGCGGAUUAAUUCGAUGCAACGCGUAGAACCUUACCUGGGUUUGACAUGGAUCGGGAGUGCUCAGAGAUGGGUGUGCCUCUUUUGGGGUCGGUUCACAGGUGGUGCAUGGCUGUCGUCAGCUCGUGUCGUGAGAUGUUGGGUUAAGUCCCGCAACGAGCGCAACCCUUGUUCACUGUUGCCAGCACGUUAUGGUGGGGACUCAGUGGAGACCGCCGGGGUCAACUCGGAGGAAGGUGGGGAUGACGUCAAGUCAUCAUGCCCCUUAUGUCCAGGGCUUCACGCAUGCUACAAUGGCUGGUACAGAGAGUGGCGAGCCUGUGAGGGUGAGCGAAUCUCGGAAAGCCGGUCUCAGUUCGGAUUGGGGUCUGCAACUCGACCUCAUGAAGUCGGAGUCGCUAGUAAUCGCAGAUCAGCAACGCUGCGGUGAAUACGUUCCCGGGGCUUGUACACACCGCCCGUCAAGUCAUGAAAGUUGGUAACACCCGAAGCCGGUGGCCUAACCGUUGUGGGGGAGCCGUCGAAGGUGGGACUGGUGAUUAGGACUAAGUCGUAACAAGGUAACCGUA